CCUACGGGUGGCUGCAGUGAGGAAUAUUGGUCAAUGGGCGUAAGCCUGAACCAGCCAAGUCGCGUGAGGGAUGAAGGUUCUAUGGAUCGUAAACCUCUUUUAUAAAGGAAUAAAGUGCGGGACGUGUCCCGUUUUGUAUGUACUUUAUGAAUAAGGAUCGGCUAACUCCGUGCCAGCAGCCGCGGUAAUACGGAGGAUCCGAGGGUUAUCCGGAUUUAUUGGGUUUAAAGGGUGCGUAGGUGGCCUUUUAAGUCAGUGGUGAAAGUUGGUGGCUCAACCAUAGAAUUGCAGUUGAUACUGGGAGGCUUGAGUAUAUUUGAGGCAGGCGGAAUGCGUGGUGUAGCGGUGAAAUGCUUAGAUAUCACGCAGAACCCCGAUUGCGAAGGCAGCCUGCCAAGCCGUGACUGACGCUGAUGCACGAAAGCGUGGGGAUCAAACAGGAUUAGAUACCCGAGUAGUC
RNAcentral lists this ribosomal RNA (460 nucleotides) under uncultured bacterium. RNAcentral describes it as "partial 16S ribosomal RNA". It matches the Rfam family "Bacterial small subunit ribosomal RNA", at positions 338 to 795 of the family's 1533-position model. The record is from RNAcentral.